RNAcentral lists this small RNA (114 nucleotides) under bovine gut metagenome. RNAcentral describes it as "Ribosomal protein L10 leader". It matches the Rfam family "Ribosomal protein L10 leader", at positions 11 to 128 of the family's 138-position model. From Rfam's summary of the family: This family is a putative r-protein leader autoregulatory structure found in B. subtilis and other low-GC Gram-positive bacteria. It is located in the 5' untranslated regions of mRNAs encoding ribosomal proteins L10 and L12 (rplJ-rplL). The record is from RNAcentral.
AAAUAUUGCCGAAGACAGCAGGUGUCGCAAGACGUAAGAUGAAAUCGCCUGCCGAGGGAAUAAGUUAAUAUGAUAUAUGACUUAUGCACCUCUCUGUCUUCAGAGAGGUUUUUU